GAUGAACGCUGGCGGCGUGCCUAAUACAUGCAAGUCGAGCGAACGGACGAGAAGCUUGCUUCUCUGAUGUUAGCGGCGGACGGGUGAGUAACACGUGGAUAACCUACCUAUAAGACUGGGAUAACUUCGGGAAACCGGAGCUAAUACCGGAUAAUAUUUUGAACCGCAUGGUUCAAAAGUGAAAGACGGUCUUGCUGUCACUUAUAGAUGGAUCCGCGCUGCAUUAGCUAGUCGGUAAGGUAACGGCCUACCAAGGCAACGAUGCAUAGCCGACCUGAGAGGGUGAUCGGCCACACGGGAACUGAGACACGGUCCAGACUCCUACGGGAGGCAGCAGUAGGGAAUCUUACGCAAUGGGCGAAAGCCUGACGGAGCAACGCCGCGUGAGUGAUGAAGGUCUUCGGAUCGUAAAACUCUGUUAUUAGGGAAGAACAUAUGUGUAAGUAACUGUGCACAUCUUGACGGUACCUAAUCAGAAAGCCACGGCUAACUACGUG
Molecule: ribosomal RNA, 497 nt
Filed under: uncultured bacterium
Lineage: Bacteria
Description: partial 16S ribosomal RNA
Rfam family: Bacterial small subunit ribosomal RNA
Source: RNAcentral